RNAcentral lists this long non-coding RNA (473 nucleotides) under Nicotiana benthamiana. RNAcentral describes it as "long non-coding RNA (NBEN_LNC020997)". Lineage: Eukaryota; Viridiplantae; Streptophyta; Magnoliopsida; Solanales; Solanaceae. The record is from RNAcentral.
AAGAAACUCAAGAAAGAGGCUGCAAAGAAAAAAGGUUCCUCAAAGGAAGGUUUGUCAAAAAUAUCUAAGAAAAAGGCCAAUGUGUCAGAUGAGGAGCAGUCUCCCACUGGUAGCCAAGCUGAUCAAACCGAAGCGCCACCUGCUGACAGUGAUGAUGAUGUUGAAUGGCAGACGGACACCUCUAUGGCAGCAGCCCAGCAGCGCAUUCAGGAGCAGCUCAAUGCUGUUACUGCUAGUAUGGUUAUGUCUCCCACUGGUAGCCAAGCUGAUCAGACUGAAGCGCCACCUGCUGACAGUGAUGAUGAUGUUGAAUGGCAGACGGACACCUCUAUGGCAGCAGCCCAGCAGCGCAUUCAGGAGCAGCUCAAUGCUGUUACUGCUAGUAUGGUUAUGCUUUCGGCAACUGAAGAGAAGUCUGGCAAAAGCUCACCAUCACGUGAAGAGAAGCCCAAGGCCAACGGGCAAUGCGCUGG